Molecule: long non-coding RNA, 337 nt
Filed under: Homo sapiens (human)
Lineage: Eukaryota; Metazoa; Chordata; Mammalia; Primates; Hominidae
Description: non-protein coding lnc-APOC3-9:1
Source: RNAcentral
UUGUAAUGUCUUCUUUUUCAUUUCUGAUUUUGUUUAUUUGGGUAUUCUCUCUUUUUCUUGGUUAGCCUAGCUAACAGUUUACUGAUUUUGUUUACCUUUUCAAAAACAACUUUUAGUUUCGUUGACUCUUUGUAUUUUUUAGUCUCUAUUUCAUUUACUUCUGUUCUGAUCUUUUUUCUUCUAUGAAUUUUGAGUUUUAUUCUUGCUUUUCUAGUUCCUUGAGAUGCAUCAUUAGAUUAUUUAUAAUUUUUUAACUUUUUUGAUGUAAGCAUAUAUUGCUGUAAACUUUACUCUUAGCACUGCUUUUACUGUAUCCCACAGGUUUUGGCAUAUUGUG